AAGCAGCGUUUAUUGUAGUUUGGUGACCAGGGAUUCAAGCAAAAGGAAUACUGCUUCUUUGUGAGGUGGGUGAAAGGGAUUUCACUAAAACUCAACAAAACUAGAAGCCUAAGUGCCUUAGAGACUUGGAAAUUUGGAGAACAAGAAACAAGGAAAAGGGACAAGAAUAAAGGCUAAGCUGCUUGAAGGAACAGUGGAAUUAACAUACAAGGAUGGGAAAAGUCAAUAAAUACAACAGAUGGUCUCGGCAUGGAAAAUCCCGAGAUUGGAGGGGUAGUCUGCAAUAGGCUGAUCCGGAGGCUGUUGGACACAAUAAAUUGGUAGCAAUUGAUGCACCAUGUUUAACAAUCAUCCACAGUGAACCGAGGCAGGAGCCAUCUGGAACAGAAUGUACUAUGGUGCCAGCAGAUAGAGGAACCAAGAAAUCGGAUCCCAGAAAAUGAGGCUGGCUCCGAUAAACAGUACAGGUAAGAUAACAGCCACAGGAACUAGUUUGAGCCAAGGAAAAUCUGGAUAAAAUGAGCCAUCGAAAGCGUUAGCUUGGGUAAUACCAGUUCCGGAGGCUAGGGGAAUCUGGCUUCCUCCGCGCUUUGAGAUCUGAGGCUAAAAGGACCAGUUGCGGAGGAUUCUCUCAGAAACCGACCCCGGGAGGCUGAGAAAGUAGUAGGUUGAGAUCUUUAAUGGGCUGGUGUGUCCAUGGACCAACGUGAGGGUUUGGAAACCUGGACUGGUGUGGUUGGGCCCAGGAGGCUGUGAAGGUUGGAACCCACAAGCCACAGAAGCUGCAUGGGACUGGCUCCCUCGACUUAGGAGUCAAUGCCUGCGGAGAAUCUUGGGAGUAUUGUCUCCCAGCAUAGGCAUCUGAUGGGCUCUUAAAAGGUAUUUGGAAAAACUAUGGAUGCUAUGUUUGGGGAAUGAAGUUUCAUGAAGACAUUUUAAAUAAACCUUGUUGGUAUCAUUAAAAUCUUCCAUAUCUUUCCUCAUCUAUGUUAUAUGUUCAAAUCUGAGAAAAGCAUAUUAAAGUAUCUCACUCAUUGUA
Ictidomys tridecemlineatus (thirteen-lined ground squirrel) is the source of this 1039-nucleotide non-coding RNA. The record is from RefSeq and is a predicted model, not a curated record. Lineage: Eukaryota; Metazoa; Chordata; Mammalia; Rodentia; Sciuridae.